RNAcentral lists this long non-coding RNA (4682 nucleotides) under Pan troglodytes (chimpanzee). Its description in RNAcentral is "lincRNA". The record is from RNAcentral. Lineage: Eukaryota; Metazoa; Chordata; Mammalia; Primates; Hominidae.
AUUCUUGAAGACAGCUUGACCGUGAUGGAGGAGACAGACAUUUAGAAUGAGCACGAAAUAAAGAUGGCUGUUAAGGGGUCAGCUCCCCUCACCAAAGUCACUUUUGAUUUACUUACAAAAGUUUUCUUAAGAUUUCUUCAGAACCCAGGUCAGAAGGCUGGGGCAGGAGGCCAGGCAGAUCACAGCGUCCAUGCCUAGAUGCUCCCUGACCCCCAGGAGCCAGAAGUGCUGUCUCCUGAAGGCUCUGGAAACCCGGAAUCAGCCUACAAGGCACCAGGGCCACAUUGGAGGGUGGAAAUGAGGACCUCAGGCCCCAGAGGGCAUGCAGGCGAGGUGAAGUUCAGGAGAGCCAGGAAGUGUCCCCCUCUUCCCGGCCUGCUGUAUCCCAGGACACAGGGCGUAAGUGUGGAGGAGGAAGGGCUGCAGGGUGAGGCAGCCCACACUUUGGCUCAGGACAGGGAUGGGACUGGGACAUAUGGGAAAAUAGUCUGGGGGUCCUGGGUAAUGGCAGGAGCAUGAGCUCAGGGUCGGGUGGCUGUCCUGGAUGACCUGUGGGACUCUCUUCCUCUCCGAGCCACGCUUUGCUCAACUGUCCCUUCCUUGUGGGAUGCCAGAGGCCACGGCGAGCGAAGGCAUAUGCCAAGAGCUGCCACUCAAUGUGAGUCAGCGUGCUGGCCCUCCCUCCUUUUCUCCAGGGGGCCUAGGACUUUUGGGGGGAGCCUGAGGACAUGCUUCGCUGAUGUCACUGUGGGGAGUGUACAAAUGGCCACCCUGCUGCUCGUUGGUUCUAUAUGGGCAUCCAGGCUGGAGAGCAGGGGGUGGGGAGAUGGAGAUGCCACCGGCAGGGGACUGGUUCCUAGAAGAGAGGGCGAGUUUGGGUGGUCCCAGAGGUGUUCUUCCCAGAAAAGAGAGCAGGAGGCAGGAGAUGGGCAUGGAGAAUGUGGAGGGGGGCAUUGACAGUUUCUAGAGUGUUCUCCACCGCCCAUCUGAUAAGACCUGGAGCCUCAUUACCAAAGACUUAAUGAGAUUCGCUUUGUUUUCUUAUGAGCCAGGCAAGGUGCCAGGGGAAGCGGCUUCCAGCCCCAGGCUCUGCAGCUGGCUGCUGUGUGACCCAGAGCCAGGCACCACACCUCUCUGGGCCUUAGACUCCUUAUCCAUGAGCUUCCUGCCUGCACCCUAACAUUCAGUGUCAUUGGCUGAGUUACCCAAUGGCUCCCAGCCUCAGUUUCUUCAUCUGCACAUUAGGGAUAAGUACAGCCAUCCACCUGGGAGGUGUCAAGGGGGUGUGGCCGCAGCACCCAGCCCAUGCACAAGUUCAGUGAUCAUUACCUGUCUCCCCCAGCCCUGCCUGAGUGCCGGGAUCAGCAGGCUUGGGAAGGGGGAGCCCCCAGGGAUGUGGAAAGUGGAGAGGGAGCACAUGGGCUCUGGGGCCUCGGGGCUCCUGGGCUCUGUUCUGCCUGUCUGGGAGCUGUCUCCUGCUCUCCCUUGCAGUGUCUCUGUCUCUCUUCGUUCUGUUCCUCCCUCUGUCCUUCAGUUUGUCCCUCUCCAUCUCAGUCUCUGGUUGUCUCAGUCUCUGUUUGCACCUCACUGUCUCUGCCUUUCUCUGCAUCUCUCUUCCUUUCCUGGGCUCUCUCUCUCUCUUUCAUCCCUGUUUUGGGCUUUCUCUGUCUCUGUCUCUCUGUUUUUCAGUCUGCUUCUUUCUGUCUCCGUUCAUUUCUCUGUAUGUCUUUGUCCCCUGCACUCCCAUUCUCCUCCCAUGCUGUCCUCUCUGGGGGCUCCUCUGGCUUCACUGAGCCACAGGCCCAGGCUGGGGUGUGAAGAAGCAGGAGCUCCCCUGUCAGAUGACGCUAGGUGCCCCAGUCAGGGCAAUGGGGGCCAGACAAAGAGCUCUGCGAGGGGUGGCAAAAUCCUCUUCCCAGGGAAGGGAAUGUGGGGGCUACUGGCCAGCUGUGGGAUGGGUGGCUGAGAACUCUCAUACCACUGUAAAUUCUAGAUGUUUUUCACUUAUAUCAGCUUCCUGAUCCCCCUGAGCCAAAGGCCUAGAAGGUCCCUGUCCCUGUCCUUUUGGAAUGUGCAGUCUUACUUACCAGAGUGACAAGGGGAACGGAGUUGAAACAGGUGGUUUCCCAGCACAGGAGCCUGUGGGGGCUGCUUAGAGAACAGCACAUUCCCUGGGAGCCAGAGCCAUCUGGGAGGGCUUUCUGGAGGAGGCAGAUCAUGAGGGAUCAGGAUGGGGACUAAUAUGUGCUGAGUGCCUGGUGGUGCUUUAUAAAUAUCAGCAGAUUGGGAGAUAAGCAUAGCCACCCUGUAGAGACACCUGGGAGGUGUCAAGGGGCAUGCAUUGUAAAGGCCCAGAGUGGUGAAGCAUCCACCAGCUGGUAAGUGGUAGCCUCGGGUGGGGCCUGUCGCUGUCCCCAUGCUCUGUCCACUACUGGUGUGGCUUGCCCCACUUGUGACCAUCGUUUCUUCCCCUCCACCCCCAGUGCCACUUCCUCUCUCCCUCGUUGUAGGGGAAAGAACAUGGGCUGUAUGGCCUUGGGCCAAUUGCUUGCCCUCUCUGGGCCUUCUUAUUGGUGACAGACAGACUGGUGACUUUCUGAGAGGAUCUAUGCAACCUCAGGCUCCUGCACCUGGGUUACAGGGUCUUCUGGAGGGGAAGAGAUGAGCAGGUAGGCUUUGACACCUGCCUGCUUUGUCCUGACUGUCUACUAUGUCAUCUGCUUUAAAUGCGAAGCCCCUGGGACUUGCGAGUUAUCUCUAAGCCUUCUCUUUUCCUGACUUUCUGGGAGUGUGUGUACCCCCAUUCCCUCACCCCAGCCAUCAGGGCCCUUUCUGAGUUGGGCAUCCUUCCUAGCUCUGGGCUAGGCCCCAACCCUGGCCCUUUCCAAGGCCAGCAGGAACUGGAAGGUCCGUACUCAUGCCCUGGGAGGCUCCAGGCUCUAAGGGGUGCUGGAGUGAUGGAGUUGGGCGGCUGGUGCUCAGAGGACCUUAAUGGUGUGGGGACAGCUGGAAACUGGUUGUCUCUUGAACCCUCUUGCCACCAGACCUCUGUCCAGGAGGGCUGCUGGGGGCCAAUGGGCCAGACACCAGACAGUCACACCUUUGGCAGGGCUGAAGUCGGGGGUGUGUGACACAAUGGGAGGGGCUGGGCCUGGCAGUCCCUGCAGCCUAUAAGCACCAGCAACCCAUGAGGGGACACAGGCACCCUCUGGCCUCAUCCUUCUUGGAGCCAGUGGGAUGUAGCAACUAAAAUACAAGCUCUGAAGUUUUAUGGACUGGAGUUGCAUCUCUGCUUCCAUCCUAAUUAGCAAGAGACCUUGGUCACGUUGCUUAAACUCUGACACUAGAUUCUCCCCCUCUGCAAAGCAAGGACAAUAGCAGUGCUCCCUUCCCGGGUCAGUUGCAAGGGUUAAGGAUGAUGUCUGCAAAGUGCUUAGCCAGAGCCGGCAUACCGUAAGUGCUCAAUAAAUGCUGGCUCCCAUUAUUAGUAUCCCUUCCCUCCACGCCCUCAGCACAUCCCUUUAUCAUGAUGGAAUAACCAACUGCCUGGUAACAACAUGUUCACACUUCCACGCUCCCCAUGAACCAUGCUCACCUAUAAGGCAGGCUGCGACCAGCUCCUCUCCAUCUAUUCAUUGCCUGGCCCAUGCUAGGGGCCCAAGAAAUGUCUGCUGCAUCAACGAGUGAUUUUGGGAAAGGUGCUGAGCCCUUCUGUCCCAUGAAGGUCUUGCGAGACAGUGUCUCACCAGCAACCUGGAUCGUGAGAACCACAGCGGGUGGGCCAGAUCUAGAUGGAGAGUGUCCAUUGGGCAGAGCUGCUUCUGUGAAAGGAAAAGAAGUUUUUCAAGAAACCAUGACGGGGGCCCAAGAAUCCAAGUUUCUAACUCUGGGAUCGGUUUUCUGUCUUUUACCUCGGUUUGCCUCUCCCUAGCUGUGUGGUUUAUGGCAAGUCACUCUGUGCCUCUGUCUCCACGUGUUCAAGGAGGCAGCCGGUCCAAGGGGCCUUCAUAGAAGGGGCUGCCGAGAUGUGAGCCCUGCAUUGGGGGAUGCCCCACAGAGGUGCUGUCCCCCACCCCCUUUCCAGGUAUGAGUGUCCCCCAGCUCUGAGUGAAUCAGUAGGAGGUGCUGGACCUGGGCUGAUUCUCACAGUGGGACCUCAACUCUAGCCCCGGCUUGGCUGACAUUAGAGGACUUUGGGUCGUUGUUCUGGCAGCUGCAAGGAAGAGCCAAUGUCAGGGAGGGAAACCCCACAUUCCCUGGCACUAUCCAAACAAAGGUUUGGUUAAAACAAAGAAUUCUCAUGGAGAAGAGUCUGAAGGACCCAAAACACAUAUUUCUGUAGACAUCCCAUCCCAAAAUAAACCCAUGGAUCAAGCCAGACCCAAAUACAAGGAUGCUGUGAACCACAUGGUUGAAUAUUCCACACUUUCCCCAUCCAUUAAACCCCACCCAGGGUGGGAAGGGGUGGAUUUCCCUCAGUUCUCAGGGCCUAGAAGAGCAGGGCUUUUUUCCCUCAACUGGUUGAGUUUUACUUUGUGAGCACCAUGAUUCCUAAAACCGGUUAUAUUUUCUUUUUCUCCUGGGCCGCCAGGGAACUCACAGUGAAAUCUACCAACCAAAGAGGAUGUCCAUACCUGUCUUUUUCUUUCUUCCUUCAUUUUUUGACUUAAUUUCCUCACUUG